Long non-coding RNA from Passer domesticus (house sparrow), 516 nucleotides. RefSeq lists it as uncharacterized. The transcript is spliced from 3 exons. NCBI's taxonomy places the organism in Eukaryota, Metazoa, Chordata, Aves, Passeriformes, Passeridae. The record is from RefSeq and is a predicted model, not a curated record.
UGCUUUGGGGUGUCAUGGAACCAAGGGGCCAUUGUGACACAGUUGAUGAGUUCUCUUAGAAGAUGUGGUUGUAGAUGCAAGGAGAAAUGAGGUCUUUCUAGAGAAAGAGCAGGGGCAGACUGCUUAUCAGAGAUGCCAUGCCAGGCUCAGGGAGAGCUGUUCCCAGCCCGAGAGCAGGAAGAGCAGCUCAGGCAGCAGGUGGAAGAGCCAUAGCAGAAUGGCCAGAACAUCAAGGCAGAGCCACAAGCAGAGCUGCCCGAAGCUCAGAGUGCCAUCAUGGCAGUGAAGAGAAAGAACAAGGAAGACAUGAGAAGAAUUCAAGAGGAGAUGAAUCUCCAUCAGCACAGGGGCGAUCAACAAAACCAGGUGAGAGAAAGAGUGGCAGCCACUCCACUCAUGAAACUUCCUCUCCAUUGUUGUUUACAAACCAUCAAGGAAGAUGUGCAGGCAGAGCUGCAGGAAUCUGAAGCUAGGAACAAGGCAAGGGAGAAGAGGCUGGAAGAAGAAAUGAAAAUC